RNAcentral lists this long non-coding RNA (310 nucleotides) under Eutrema salsugineum. RNAcentral's name for it is "long non-coding RNA (ESAL_LNC000814)". The record is from RNAcentral. Lineage: Eukaryota; Viridiplantae; Streptophyta; Magnoliopsida; Brassicales; Brassicaceae.
UGAAAUUAACAUCAAACAUAGUCAUCAUAACUUUGUUUUCUUUUCUUUUUUCACAGAGUUUUUAUGUUUUAAACAACUUACAAAUCAUAACUUUGUUUCCCAGUAAACUUAACUUCAAUGGGACUAACAUUUUUCCCAAUAGAUCUCAUGUUGAGACCAACACCUUCUCUUCCCGGAUUCGCCUUCUCGGGAUAAACACCAUCUUUAGGAUGAAGAUACUGAACCUCACCAUUGGGGAAAACUCUGUAAAACUGGUAAGUGAUCUUGUACUUGGAUCUAAGCCUUGUCCCAAGAGCCAAACACUGUUCUU